UACGAAGGGGGCUAGCGUUGCUCGGAAUCACUGGGCGUAAAGCGCACGUAGGCGGGUCUUUAAGUCGGGGGUGAAAUCCUGGAGCUCAACUCCAGAACUGCCUUCGAUACUGAGGAUCUCGAGUCCGGGAGAGGUGAGUGGAACUCCGAGUGUAGAGGUGAAAUUCGUAGAUAUUCGGAAGAACACCAGUGGCGAAGGCGGCUCACUGGCCCGGUACUGACGCUGAGGUGCGAAAGCGUGGGGAGCAAACAGG
Molecule: ribosomal RNA, 253 nt
Filed under: uncultured bacterium
Lineage: Bacteria
Description: partial 16S ribosomal RNA
Rfam family: Bacterial small subunit ribosomal RNA
Source: RNAcentral